RNAcentral lists this transfer RNA (63 nucleotides) under Zootermopsis angusticollis (Pacific dampwood termite). Its description in RNAcentral is "tRNA-Ile". RNAcentral also lists the same sequence under 1 other name. Lineage: Eukaryota; Metazoa; Arthropoda; Insecta; Blattodea; Termopsidae. The record is from RNAcentral.
AAUGGAGUGCCUGAAAAAGGAUUACUAUGAUAGGGUAAAUAAUGUAUAAAAAUACCUCCAUUA